GAUGAAGAACGUAGCGAAAUGCGAUACGUAAUGUGAAUUGCAGAUUUCAGUGAAUCAUCGAAUCUUUGAACGCACAUUGCGCCCCCUGGUAUUCCGGGGGGCAUGCCUGUCCGAGCGUCAUUGCUGCCCUCAAGCACGGCUUGUGUGUUGGGCCCCGUCCUCCGAUCCCGGGGGACGGGCCCGAAAGGCAGCGGCGGCACCGCGUCCGGUCCUCGAGCGUAUGGGGCUUUGUCACCCGCUCUGUAGGCCCGGCCGGCGCUUGCCGAUCAACCCAAAUUUUUAUCCAGGUUGACCUCGGAUCAGGUAGGGAUACCCGCUGAACUUAAGCAUAUCAAUAAGCGGAGGA
This 346-nucleotide unclassified non-coding RNA is filed under the name soil metagenome. Its description in RNAcentral is "partial contains 5.8S ribosomal RNA, internal transcribed spacer 2, and large subunit ribosomal RNA". The stretch from base 1 to 120 matches the Rfam family "5.8S ribosomal RNA", at positions 35 to 154 of the family's 154-position model. The record is from RNAcentral.